AUUCAGGGACACCUGCGGCUCCAGGUCAGAGAUGCACCUGCUAGUCCUGCCUCUACAGGACCCAACCCAUCAGUUCCUAGCUUGUCCUUCUGGUGAGAAUUGAGCACACUAUACUGUGGACAUAAAGACAAACCUUGCUGGAACUGACUGGUGGAAUGUAGCAGGAAUCGGAGGGAAGCUUUACUCAUCAUUCCAGUCCAGGGACCAACAUAGGAAAUUAUAUUAAAAUUGGUUCUUCUCUGCUUACUUCCGUCCUCUAGUUGCAUAUUCUUAAUCAGGUAAAGCAUUUGUUAACCUUGUUUUUAAUACUUAGAGGAGUGCCCUGGAGCCUGUCUGCCCUCAUGAUUGUCUGGAGAGGUGAGAAGACCAGGAGUAGUAAAACAGACCAAAGAUUUCCCAAUUUCUCUUGGGGAAGUGGCUGGGAUUGGGGAUGGUGGCCAAUGGGAGCCCAACUUUAUUGGUAAAAUUCUGAUUAUUUUAUGAGAAGAAUGUAUUUUUGUAUCAUUUGUGUAAUUAAAAAAUUAAGCAAAUGAAUAAUAUGAACACUUCAGUUCUUAAACAUUGACAAUGUAUAUACUGGAUGUAAUAAAACGC
Molecule: long non-coding RNA, 594 nt
Filed under: Homo sapiens (human)
Lineage: Eukaryota; Metazoa; Chordata; Mammalia; Primates; Hominidae
Description: novel transcript
Source: RNAcentral